This 72-nucleotide transfer RNA is filed under the name Bacteroidota bacterium. Its description in RNAcentral is "tRNA-Asp". It matches the Rfam family "tRNA". Rfam says of the family: Transfer RNA (tRNA) molecules are approximately 80 nucleotides in length. Their secondary structure includes four short double-helical elements and three loops (D, anti-codon, and T loops). Lineage: Bacteria; Pseudomonadati; Bacteroidota. The record is from RNAcentral.
GGGGCGGUAGCACAAUGGCUAAUGCAGGUACCUAUCAAGUUCUUUAUACGGGUUCAAUCCCCGUCCGCUCCA